RNAcentral lists this ribosomal RNA (440 nucleotides) under uncultured bacterium. RNAcentral's name for it is "partial 16S ribosomal RNA". It matches the Rfam family "Bacterial small subunit ribosomal RNA", at positions 338 to 795 of the family's 1533-position model. The record is from RNAcentral.
CCUACGGGAGGCAGCAGUGGGGAAUAUUGGACAAUGGGGGAAACCCUGAUCCAGCGACGCCGCGUGAGUGAAGAAGUAUUUCGGUACGUAAAGCUCUAUCAGCAGGAAAGAAAAUGACGGUACCUGACUAAGAAGCCCCGGCUAACUACGUGCCAGCAGCCGCGGUAAUACGUAGGGGGCAAGCGUUAUCCGGAUUUACUGGGUGGAAAGGGAGCGUAGACGGCAGCGCAAGUCUGGAGUGAAAUGCCGGGGCCCAACCCCGGAACUGCUCUGGAAACUGUGAAGCUGGAGUGCAGGAGAGGUAAGCGGAAUUCCUGGUGUAGCGGGGAAAUGCGUAGAUAUCAGGAGGAACACCGGCGGCGAAGGCGGCUUACUGGACUGUAACUGACGUUGAGGCUCGAAGGCGUGGGGAGCAAACAGGAUUAGAUACCCGUGUAGUC